This 1179-nucleotide long non-coding RNA is filed under the name Gallus gallus (chicken). RNAcentral describes it as "lncRNA (ENSGALG00010000551.1)". The record is from RNAcentral. Lineage: Eukaryota; Metazoa; Chordata; Aves; Galliformes; Phasianidae.
UCUCUUAGACCUCAUUGAAGGGCUGACUGCCCCAGGGAAGGAUCUUUGGUUAGAGAUCCCUCCCUUAUGGAGUCUUUCCUGUGAGCUGUGAUCUUCAGAGAUGGUUGGGUCCUGGGCUGGGAGAAGAAUGGGGAGAUGCUUUUUGCCUGCCAGAGCCUGGAGGAUCUCCUUCUGCCACCCGCACCAUGCCUGCAGGGCCAUGGAUUUGCCACAGACAGCACAGUGGAGGAGGCAGAAUCCACAGUAGGAUUAGGCAAAAUUUCUUUUGGGAUAUGCUGGGCAUCUGCACUGUAUUUUAAAGCAAGCCUUCUGAACCAAAACAAUGACAUCUCUCCAUUUUGCAUUUUUUUUUAUCAUCUCCUUUAUAUUCUGAGUAAGUUCUAUAUUGUGGUCAAGCUUGCGUUCUCCGUGCUUGCUCCAUUGCAUUGCUCUCGGUUCAUCAUUUUGCUGUUCAGUAUGAAUGAAAGUGGCUUUCUGUUCGUGUGCCUCUGUGAGGGCUCAGUUUCACUGGGGAUGGCUUCUCUGCUGUUCUGAGCAUCUCAUUUACGUUGGGCAGAAAUAACCCUCAUAGUCAAGUUGGGUGUGCCCUGCCCACGGGGCGAUUUUUGUCUUUCUGGUUGGGUUGGCAUAUGACCCUUUGAUAGCUCUUAAAUUCACUCACUGGAAUAGUUUUCUGGGGAUAUAAUGUCCCCAGGAGCUCGUAAACACCUGCAGAGUUGGUAUGAGUUCCUGGGAGGGUACUGUGACAGCCUUCAUCCUCGUCAACGACCCGGAGCCAAGCAUGCGUUAAAUCAUCGCGUGGGUUCUGCAGGUGACACAGAUGGGUGCACGGGGACAAGUCAGUGUUUGCAGAAUGACCCGAGCUCCUCAGCAAUGAGGUCUGCAGGCAGCAGGUGCUUUAAUCUUGCUAAAUGCAAGGUGAUGCUUCUGGAAAGGAAACCGCUCAUACCUGUGAAGCAAAGGGCUGAACACUGCAGUGAGCAGAAAUGGAGACGGAUGUGAGGGAGCUGAAUGAAUGAGCCCAUGCGGCCCAUGAAGAUGCUGGCUGGUAAUGAGCACUUACAGUAAGACUUGGGCAAAAAUAAUAGUGGUUUCAUACGGAACGUUUCACAGCUAAUUUGAUGUAUUGGCAACACCAUAUUAAUCCGUUCAGCCAAUAAAAUGAAGAGAAAUAAAUCG